GACGAACGCUGGCGGUGUGCUUAACACAUGCAAGUCGAACGGUAAGGCCCUUUCGGGGGCACACGAGUGGCGAACGGGUGAGUAACACGUGAGUAACCUGCCCUCAUCUCUGGGAUAACAGUCGGAAACGGUUGCUAAUACUGGAUAUGAGCUUGCAAGGCAUCUUGUGGGUUGGAAAGAUUUUUUUGGUUGGGGAUGGACUCGCGGCCUAUCAGCUUGUUGGUGAGGUAGUGGCUCACCAAGGCUUCGACGGGUAGCCGGCCUGAGAGGGCGACCGGCCACAUUGGGACUGAGAUACGGCCCAAACUCCUACGGGAGGCAGCAGUGGGGAAUAUUGCACAAGGGACGGAAGUCUGAUGCAGCAACGCCGCGGGCGGGAUGACGGCCUUCGGGUUGUAAACCGCUUUCAAUUGUGACGAAGCUUUUUGUGACGGUAGCAGUAGAAGAAGCACCGGCUAACUACGUG
This 466-nucleotide ribosomal RNA is filed under the name uncultured bacterium. Its description in RNAcentral is "partial 16S ribosomal RNA". It matches the Rfam family "Bacterial small subunit ribosomal RNA", at positions 28 to 507 of the family's 1533-position model. The record is from RNAcentral.